UGCAUGUCAGUAACUCUAUCUGAUCUGCACAUCCAUAUUUGGUGCAUGUAAUUGUAUAGUAUUUUGGGUUACUGAUCGUUGAUUUAUGGUGAAAUUUUAAAUUAUGUAGGCUAAUGAACCCAAGGUGUUCGGUGAUAUGCCUGAGACAACUAAAUUAUUUGGGUGAAUUUGGUAUAGUAUAAGCAAAAUUCAAAAGUUAAUUAAGAAGACGAGGAACCAAAAUACUUACGUUGGCUACCCUUUGUUUUCCUCGGUAUGUGUUUCUUUCGCGUGGUUGCGAUACAACUUGUGAAGAAUUCUUGUGUUUUUUUGUUUUUAGUUUAUUUUCCUUGUGUCAUCUUUGAUUUAUAGCAUUACUGAGGUAACAACAUGUUGGUUUCAAGGGUGCUAGCAAAAUUGUUGCUUGUUCUCCGUCUGCCGAAGUUGGUUAGUCCUUUUGACAAUUUUACGCUCUCUCCAUCUGUGAUUUUCUUAUUGAUGAGUUCGUGUCAGUGUUUUCCAUUCUGUAAUUUCAUUAUUCUUUGUUUUUAUCUCUUUACCGUAUUAAUUCUUAACUGAUCUUGAUCAUUUUAAACUCGAUUUCUUUCAUCUACAUUGCUUGAUUUGGGUAAGUUGUACUGGGUUUUAGUUAUUCUUGUUAGUGUGUUAGUAAUAUUUAUUUUCCAAUGUUAAUCAGUUAGCAUUAUAUAUAAACAGAAUGGAAGAAAUUGUAUGGAAUCAGAGGAGAAUUUAGAGCACCAGUGCAAAUACUGGCCCUAAUCGAGAAAGAAGAACUAAGAAAAGCGGGCAACCAAAAAACAUGAAGGGUGGCCUUCUUUCCUUGCUAUCCAUAGGGGAAUCAAGACAAAUGUUAUGACAUCAGAUUACUACCAUUUUGCCCUUUAUGUACCAUGAAAAUAAGCUUGAUGACAAUUCUGAAACUCUGGUAAUGCACAAACAACAAUGAGCUGCCUCUUAAUGAAUAAGUACUCCAACUCAAAGCCAUUUUCAUAUGAGAAUUCCAAUUUUUAAAGAUAUUUCAUCUUCUGUGAACAGAAGAAAUUACUAUAUCGUACAAAUUCUUCUAUCACCUUGACCAUGAGGGAAUUGUGGAACUACUAAACAUUUUGUAAGGUCUCCGCCAAUAGUUGUUCACUGUCUAGCAAUACUGGAAAUGGUUUUAGUUAAUUACUUUUUUGAGCUUCUGAAGUUAUGAAUGGUAUAUAUUACUUACGAGAUCGUUUCUUUCAGGGGAAAUGUGAUAUAGAUGCAGCUUUUCAAUAGUAAUAUGCCUUAUUUUGUCGAGGGAAAUAUACAGGAAGUCUGAUUCUCCUAGCCUAAUAGAUUAAUAUAAUUUGGCGAAAUCUUCUUCUCCUCAACUUGUGCAACAACCCCUGUCUCAACUAGAAUAUAUUGAUGUAAGCAAAGAAUUGGAAGGUGGAAAAAGUAAGAAGCAGAACGGUCAAAGAAUGAAUCACAUCAAAUCUUGGUUGUUUACUUCACGACGGCUAGAUUACAAUAAGCAACAUCAGCUAUAGUGCUCAAGACGUGAAAUUCCUUUCUGGUUAUGUGCUGUUUCAGCCUUUCAGUUGAACAACUGGGGACAAAAUAAUUCCUCAUGUACUGUCAUGGUUUACUGGUGAGGCUGCGGAAGAUGAUGAAUCUGAAGAUAUGGAAGAUGUUAUUAAAAAAGAUGGAGAUGGAGAUGAGGAUGAGAAGAAGUGACAGAAAGGUUGUACUAGCUUGGGGAAAAAAGUGAGGU
Lycium ferocissimum is the source of this 1741-nucleotide long non-coding RNA. RefSeq lists it as uncharacterized. The transcript has 6 exons. NCBI's taxonomy places the organism in Eukaryota, Viridiplantae, Streptophyta, Magnoliopsida, Solanales, Solanaceae. The record is from RefSeq and is a predicted model, not a curated record.